GUAUUUAGAGAAAUUUUUUUUGAGUCUGUAAGUUCUCCACUUAAGAAAUAUAUUAGGGCUGAAGGUCAAAGGAAGAAGACAUUAAACCUUUGCUCACUUAUGGCAAUUACUCUGGAGACAACCACUGCUUGGAAAACAAGUAUUAUGAGCUACCUGUGACAACAUUUUUGGAGCCUCAUUCUAAAUAGUCUUGCAGGGACCAAAGAUGCUUCCUUUCCCAGUUCACUGGUUAGUUUGCCUGUUUUUCAAUGAUACAAUUUGUUAGUAUCUG
Molecule: long non-coding RNA, 271 nt
Filed under: Apteryx owenii (little spotted kiwi)
Lineage: Eukaryota; Metazoa; Chordata; Aves; Apterygiformes; Apterygidae
Description: lncRNA (ENSAOWG00000015729.1)
Source: RNAcentral